CACGUAGGUAAUCUUCCCUUGAGCGGGGGACAACAGUUCGAAAGGACUGCUAAUACCGCAUAAGUUUUAAGAGACUCCGGUCUUUUAAAGGAAAGCUAGGCCGCAAGGUCCGGCACUCGAGGAGGAGCCUGCGUCGCAUCAGCUAGUUGGUGGGGUAACGGCCUACCAAGGCGAAGACGCGUAGCUGGUCUGAGAGGAUGAUCAGCCACACUGGGACUGAGACACGGCCCAGACUCCUACGGGAGGCAGCAGUGGGGAAUAUUGGACAAUGGGCGCAAGCCUGAUCCAGCCACGCCGCGU
This 300-nucleotide ribosomal RNA is filed under the name uncultured Kofleriaceae bacterium. RNAcentral describes it as "bacterial SSU rRNA". It matches the Rfam family "Bacterial small subunit ribosomal RNA", at positions 114 to 402 of the family's 1533-position model. The record is from RNAcentral. Lineage: Bacteria; Pseudomonadati; Myxococcota; Haliangiales; Kofleriaceae.